This 1725-nucleotide ribosomal RNA is filed under the name human gut metagenome. Its description in RNAcentral is "bacterial LSU rRNA". It matches the Rfam family "Bacterial large subunit ribosomal RNA", at positions 1082 to 2838 of the family's 2925-position model. The record is from RNAcentral.
UGCUAAGACAGCUAGGAUGUUGGCUUGGAAGCAGCCAUUCAUUUAAAGAGUGCGUAACAGCUCACUAGUCGAGGAGUUUUGCAUGGAUAAUAAUCGGGCAUAAGCCGGUUACCGAAGCUAUGGAUAUCGCAAGAUAUGGUAGGGGAGCAUUCCAUCCGCCGCAGAAGGCCGUCCUCGAGGACGACUGGAGGAAAUGGAAAAGCAAAUGUAGGUAUAAGUAACGAUAAAGGAAGCGAGAAACUUCCUCGCCGAAAGACUAAGGAUUCCUGAUCAACGCUAAUCGGAUCAGGUUCAGUCGGGACCUAAGGAAUAGCCAAACGGCGCAUCCGAUGGAAGAAACGGUCAACAUUCCGUUACUGGUUAUGAGAGCGAUGUGGAGACGAAGCAGUGACACACCCGCCUGCAGACGGAAUAGCAGGUUAAAGAGUGUAGAUAAUGGAAAGGCAGGCAAAUCCGCCUUUUCAGUCGACCUUGAUAGUACUGAGCGCCCCCGGGCAAUCAGAUAGCGGUGGUAAACAGACUUCCAAGAAAAUCCGCUAAGCAUAUCCCAUAACCACCCGUACCCUAAACGGACACACGUAGUCGGGUAGAAUAUACUAAGGCGCUCGAGAGACUCACGGUUAAGGAACUAGGCAAAUUGACCCUGUAACUUCGGGACAAAGGGUCCCUACCCAGUGAUGGGAGGGCGCAGAGAAUAGGUCCAGGCAACUGUUUAACAAAAACACAGGGCUGUGCAAAAUUGAAAGAUGAAGUAUACAGCCUGACACCUGCCCGGUGCUGGAAGGUUAAGAGGAGACGUCAUCGCAAGAGAAGCGUUGAAUUGAAGCCCCAGUAAACGGCGGCCGUAACUAUAACGGUCCUAAGGUAGCGAAAUUCCUUGUCGGGUAAGUUCCGACCUGCACGAAUGGUGUAAUGAUCUGGACACUGUCUCAACCGUGAACUCGGUGAAAUUGUAGUAUCGGUGAAGAUGCCGAUUUCCCGCAACGGGACGGAAAGACCCCGUGAACCUUUACUGCAGCUUAACAUUGCAUUUGGGUAAUUAAUGUGUAGGAUAGUCCGGAGGCUAUGAAGUAGGUACGCCAGUAUCUGUGGAGCCAUCCUUGAAAUACGGACCUUUGAUUAUUUGAAUUCUAACCCGCAGAAGCGGGGACACUGUUUGGUGGGUAGUUUGACUGGGGUGGUCGCCUCCAAAAAAGUAACGGAGGCUUCUAAAGGUACCCUCAGGCCGAUUGGUAACCGGCCGAAGAGUGUAAUGGCACAAGGGUGCUUGACUGAGAGACCGACAAGUCGAUCAGGUAGGAAACUAGAGCAUAGUGAUCCGGUGGUUCCGCAUGGAAGGGCCAUCGCUCAAAGGAUAAAAGGUACUCCGGGGAUAACAGGCUGAUCGCUCCCAAGAGCUCAUAUCGACGGAGCGGUUUGGCACCUCGAUGUCGGCUCGUCACAUCCUGGGGCUGGAGAAGGUCCCAAGGGUUGGGCUGUUCGCCCAUUAAAGUGGCACGCGAGCUGGGUUCAGAACGUCGUGAGACAGUUCGGUCCCUAUCUGUUGUGGGCGCAGGAAAUUUGAGGAGAACUGACACUAGUACGAGAGGACCGUGUUGGACAGACCGCUGGUUUAUCAGUUGUUCCGCCAGGGGCAUAGCUGAGUAUCUAAGUCUGGAAAGGAUAAGUGCUGAAAGCAUCUAAGUACGAAGCCAACUUCAAGAUGAGAUUUCCCUGAAGGGUCGU